CGCAGUGUUAUCAUUUAGACACUUAAGCAAUUGCCCCAACUGUAAUUGCAGAGUUGCUGUCAUACGUCUAAUUAGGCAACUGAAACAAAUUUAUCACUAGAAAUCGUGUUAUGUUUCUUUAACAGGCGCAGGGAUGAAUCUGGUGCCAGAUACGGCCGUACGUGAAGUUUUUCGCGACUCCGAUGAUGAAUCGACCAUUCGGCAUGACGUAAGCUACAACUGAAAAUUGCCUUCUUCAUUAUUCUUCGCAUUUGAGCGUUUCGUCGAGGAUUCCCUUUCUACCUUUACCGCGUAUCCAUUCCCCAUCCCAUGGAUCAUUCUCAACAACAAGGCUGUAAGAAAGAAAAUUAACGGACUGUUGCCCCUGGCAGAAAGCUGCCCAGGACAGAUAGUUCGCGACCUACUUGUACCACUGUUCGACAUAACUCAACGCGUUGUGUACGGUUGAAAAAGGUCUCGUUGGACAAAAAGACGGUCGACGAUAGAGCUCUACAGAACCAAAAUUCGUUUUACGAGUGUGUACAUUAUUGCAGGAAGUUCAAUAUUUCACCGGCAGCAAGCUAAAAUUUAAAAUAUCAUGACGGAUUGUUAUUCUCUGCAUCACAAGUGAUACUAUAUUUGACAAUAAUAAAAUGCUAAAAUUGUUCCGUCUUAAAUAUAUUCAUGCGUGUAUAUAUAUUGAUAUACACUAAUUUGAUUUAAUAAAAACUAUCAU
This 715-nucleotide long non-coding RNA is filed under the name Varroa destructor (honeybee mite). RNAcentral describes it as "uncharacterized LOC111246439, transcript variant X1". The record is from RNAcentral. Lineage: Eukaryota; Metazoa; Arthropoda; Arachnida; Mesostigmata; Varroidae.